Molecule: ribosomal RNA, 253 nt
Filed under: uncultured bacterium
Lineage: Bacteria
Description: partial 16S ribosomal RNA
Rfam family: Bacterial small subunit ribosomal RNA
Source: RNAcentral
UACGUAGGUGGCAAGCGUUGUCCGGAAUUAUUGGGCGUAAAGCGCGCGCAGGCGGUCCUUUAAGUCUGAUGUGAAAGCCCACGGCUCAACCGUGGAAGGUCAUUGGAAACUGGAGGACUUGAGUACAGAAGAGGAAAGCGGAAUUCCACGUGUAGCGGCGAAAUGCGUAGAGAUGUGGAGGAACACCAGUGGCGAAGGCGGCUUUCUGGUCUGUAACUGACGCUGAGGCGCGAAAGCGUGGGGAGCAAACAGG